GAUGAAGAACGUAGCGAAAUGCGAUAAGUAAUGUGAAUUGCAGAAUUCAGUGAAUCAUCGAAUCUUUGAACGCACCUUGCACCCUUUGGCAUUCCGAAGGGUAUGCUCGUUUGAGUGUCAUUGUACUCUCACACUCUCCGAUCCUAUGGAUUCGGGGAGCGGUGGACUUGGGUGUUGCUGCCUUUCCCUGUGGCUCACCUCAAAUGCGUCAGUGCACCUCUUGGUUGGACAUAGUACGGCGUGAUAAGUGUCUUCGCCGGCACCUCGUAAGAGGGUGGCCGAUCGGGAGCUCUGCGCUUUCAAACCGUCUUCGGACAAUUUCUGACAUCUUGACCUCAAAUCGAGUAGGACUACCCGCUGAACUUAAGCAUAUCAAUAAGCGGAGGA
This 387-nucleotide unclassified non-coding RNA is filed under the name soil metagenome. Its description in RNAcentral is "partial contains 5.8S ribosomal RNA, internal transcribed spacer 2, and large subunit ribosomal RNA". The stretch from base 1 to 120 matches the Rfam family "5.8S ribosomal RNA", at positions 35 to 154 of the family's 154-position model. The record is from RNAcentral.